This 253-nucleotide ribosomal RNA is filed under the name uncultured bacterium. RNAcentral's name for it is "partial 16S ribosomal RNA". It matches the Rfam family "Bacterial small subunit ribosomal RNA", at positions 524 to 776 of the family's 1533-position model. The record is from RNAcentral.
GACGAACCGUGCGAACGUUAUUCGGAAUCACUGGGCUUAAAGGGCGCGUAGGCGGGCGGACAAGUCGGGGGUGAAAUCGUUCGGCCCAACCGGACAAGGGCCCCCGAUACUGGCCGUCUCGAGGGAGGUAGGGGUCGAUGGAACUUCCGGUGGAGCGGUGAAAUGCGUUGAUAUCGGAAGGAACGCCGGUGGCGAAAGCGGCGUACUGGAUCUCUUCUGACGCUGAGGCGCGAAAGCUAGGGGAGCAAACGGG